UCCGCAGGUGAGGACCCAGGACUCAAGUCUGGACUAUACACUCGUGGGAGGUGUGAGCUCUGAUCUUGCUAUAGCAAUAAUCGCGCUUCCACCGUGUUUAGGGACCGGAUCUUGACUGGCAGCUGCUGGUCAAUUCGAGUUGAAGUGAGAUGCAAAUUGCGUUAUUAUCUUCAGAUGAUUUGGAACUAUUUCGACUAUCCUAGGAGCUCACUGAUAUGAGGGUGGCGCACAUUAAAAUUCCCUAUCUCAGUUUUGGCCUUUCCCAAGCCGAUGAACCCUUUGGCUCGGCAACGGUAUAAUAUACGGUGUGUAAAUUUUGGGCGCUAUCACUAUUAUACCGAUCCUGGUGAUAGGCAGAUAUUUGGAAAAAGCCCCCUAAUUUCCAAGGGGCUUUGGAAUUAUUUGAUAAUAAGUGUAUUCUCGGCUGAAUAGCUGGGUUAUAAAUUUUGCUGAAUCUGGCUUGGGUUUUUGGAUAUUCACACAAUGAGAUAACUAUGGGGGACAAAGCAAGCAUUCUCGCAAAUUGAAUUGUGUUGAAGGAUUUCAAUACCUU
Molecule: small RNA, 553 nt
Filed under: Histoplasma capsulatum var. duboisii H88
Lineage: Eukaryota; Fungi; Ascomycota; Eurotiomycetes; Onygenales; Ajellomycetaceae
Description: Histoplasma capsulatum H88 hypothetical RNA
Source: RNAcentral